Molecule: ribosomal RNA, 1321 nt
Filed under: uncultured Alphaproteobacteria bacterium
Lineage: Bacteria; Pseudomonadati; Pseudomonadota; Alphaproteobacteria
Description: bacterial SSU rRNA
Rfam family: Bacterial small subunit ribosomal RNA
Source: RNAcentral
ACGUACGCUGGCGGCACGCCUAACACAUGCAAGUCGAACGAAGUAGCAAUACUUAGUGGCAGACGGGUGAGUAACAUGUAGGUAUCUGCCCUUUGGCCUGGAAUAACACGAGGAAACUUGUGCUAAUACCGGAUAAGUCUUUACGGAGAAAGCUUUAUGCACCAUUGGAUGAGCCUGCACUUGAUUAGUUUGUUGGUGGGGUAAUGGCCUACCAAGACUGUGAUCAAUAGCUGAUUUGAGAGGAUGAUCAGCCACAUUGGGACUGAGACACGGCCCAAACUCCUACGGGAGGCAGCAGUGGGGAAUCUUGCACAAUGGAGGAAACUCUGAUGCAGCGAUGCCGCGUGAGUGAAGAAGGCCCUUGGGUUGUAAAGCUCUUUCGUCGGGGAAGAAAAUGACUGUACCCGAAUAAGAAGGUCCGGCUAACUUCGUGCCAGCAGCCGCGGUAAUACGAAGGGACCUAGCGUAGUUCGGAAUUACUGGGCUUAAAGAGUUCGUAGGUGGUUGAAAAAGUUAGUGGUGAAAUCCCAGAGCUUAACUCUGGAACUGCCAUUAAAACUUUUCAGCUAGAGUAUGAUAGAGGAAAGCAGAAUUUCUAGUGUAGAGGUGAAAUUCGUAGAUAUUAGAAAGAAUACCAAUUGCGAAGGCAGCUUUCUGGAUCAUUACUGACACUGAGGAACGAAAGCAUGGGUAGCGAAGAGGAUUAGAUACCCUCGUAGUCCAUGCCGUAAACGAUGUGUGUUAGACGUUGGAAAUUUAUUUUCAGUGUCGCAGGGAAACCGAUAAACACACCGCCUGGGGAGUACGACCGCAAGGUUAAAACUCAAAUGAAUUGACGGGGACCCGCACAAGUAGUGGAGCAUGUGGUUUAAUUCGAAGAUACGCGCAGAACCUUACCAACACUUGACAUGUUCGUCGCGACUCUAAGAGAUUAGAGUUUUCGGUUCGGCCGGACGAAACACAGGUGCUGCAUGGCUGUCGUCAGCUCGUGUCGUGAGAUGUUGGGUUAAGUCCCGCAACGAGCGCAACCCUCACUUUUAGUUGCCAUCAUUAAGUUGGGCACUCUGAAAGAACUGCCAGUGAUAAGCUGGAGGAAGGUGGGGAUGACGUCAAGUCCUCAUGGCCCUUACGUGUUGGGCUACACACGUGCUACAAUGGUAUCUACAACAGGAAGCAAGACUGCGAAGUUAAGCAAAUCCCUAAAAGAUACCUCAGUUCGGAUUGCACUCUGCAACUCGAGUGCAUGAAGCUGGAAUUACUAGUAAUCGUGGAUCAGCAUGCCACGGUGAAUGCGUUCCCGGGUCUUGUACUCACCGCCCGU